Molecule: small nucleolar RNA, 127 nt
Organism: Pan paniscus (pygmy chimpanzee)
Lineage: Eukaryota; Metazoa; Chordata; Mammalia; Primates; Hominidae
Gene: SNORA70
Rfam family: Small nucleolar RNA SNORA70
About the family: snoRNA U70 seems to be exclusive to mammals and is a member of the H/ACA class of snoRNA which contain H (ANANNA) and ACA box motifs. H/ACA box snoRNAs are involved in the conversion of uridines to pseudouridines (5-ribosyluracil) a constituent of structural RNAs (transfer, ribosomal, small nuclear, and small nucleolar).
Source: Ensembl
CUGGGGAAUUCAAACUUGUGUUAAGAAAAUGUGUCCCAGUGUGCAAUGGCUGCAAACAGCAGCUUCCUUGGUAGUGUAUGCAGCCUGUUUGUUGUAUGGGUUGCUCUAAAGGACCUUGGAGACAGUC